This 22-nucleotide microRNA is filed under the name Gallus gallus (chicken). RNAcentral's name for it is "microRNA Ros-gga". Lineage: Eukaryota; Metazoa; Chordata; Aves; Galliformes; Phasianidae. The record is from RNAcentral.
UCCGGGUGUGCUGACCCCUGCG